Molecule: ribosomal RNA, 1435 nt
Filed under: Klebsiella pneumoniae subsp. pneumoniae
Lineage: Bacteria; Pseudomonadati; Pseudomonadota; Gammaproteobacteria; Enterobacterales; Enterobacteriaceae
Description: bacterial SSU rRNA
Rfam family: Bacterial small subunit ribosomal RNA
Source: RNAcentral
CGGGCGGAGCCUACACAUGCAGUCGAGCGGUAGCACAGAGAGCUUGCUCUCGGGUGACGAGCGGCGGACGGGUGAGUAAUGUCUGGGAAACUGCCUGAUGGAGGGGGAUAACUACUGGAAACGGUAGCUAAUACCGCAUAAUGUCGCAAGACCAAAGUGGGGGACCUUCGGGCCUCAUGCCAUCAGAUGUGCCCAGAUGGGAUUAGCUAGUAGGUGGGGUAACGGCUCACCUAGGCGACGAUCCCUAGCUGGUCUGAGAGGAUGACCAGCCACACUGGAACUGAGACACGGUCCAGACUCCUACGGGAGGCAGCAGUGGGGAAUAUUGCACAAUGGGCGCAAGCCUGAUGCAGCCAUGCCGCGUGUGUGAAGAAGGCCUUCGGGUUGUAAAGCACUUUCAGCGGGGAGGAAGGCGGUGAGGUUAAUAACCUUGUCGAUUGACGUUACCCGCAGAAGAAGCACCGGCUAACUCCGUGCCAGCAGCCGCGGUAAUACGGAGGGUGCAAGCGUUAAUCGGAAUUACUGGGCGUAAAGCGCACGCAGGCGGUCUGUCAAGUCGGAUGUGAAAUCCCCGGGCUCAACCUGGGAACUGCAUUCGAAACUGGCAGGCUAGAGUCUUGUAGAGGGGGGUAGAAUUCCAGGUGUAGCGGUGAAAUGCGUAGAGAUCUGGAGGAAUACCGGUGGCGAAGGCGGCCCCCUGGACAAAGACUGACGCUCAGGUGCGAAAGCGUGGGGAGCAAACAGGAUUAGAUACCCUGGUAGUCCACGCCGUAAACGAUGUCGAUUUGGAGGUUGUGCCCUUGAGGCGUGGCUUCCGGAGCUAACGCGUUAAAUCGACCGCCUGGGGAGUACGGCCGCAAGGUUAAAACUCAAAUGAAUUGACGGGGGCCCGCACAAGCGGUGGAGCAUGUGGUUUAAUUCGAUGCAACGCGAAGAACCUUACCUGGUCUUGACAUCCACAGAACUUUCCAGAGAUGGAUUGGUGCCUUCGGGAACUGUGAGACAGGUGCUGCAUGGCUGUCGUCAGCUCGUGUUGUGAAAUGUUGGGUUAAGUCCCGCAACGAGCGCAACCCUUAUCCUUUGUUGCCAGCGGUUCGGCCGGGAACUCAAAGGAGACUGCCAGUGAUAAACUGGAGGAAGGUGGGGAUGACGUCAAGUCAUCAUGGCCCUUACGACCAGGGCUACACACGUGCUACAAUGGCAUAUACAAAGAGAAGCGACCUCGCGAGAGCAAGCGGACCUCAUAAAGUAUGUCGUAGUCCGGAUUGGAGUCUGCAACUCGACUCCAUGAAGUCGGAAUCGCUAGUAAUCGUAGAUCAGAAUGCUACGGUGAAUACGUUCCCGGGCCUUGUACACACCGCCCGUCACACCAUGGGAGUGGGUUGCAAAAGAAGUAGGUAGCUUAACCUUCGGGAGGGCGCUACCACUUGAUAGG